Rhizophagus irregularis is the source of this 72-nucleotide non-coding RNA. The record is from Rfam. Lineage: Eukaryota; Fungi; Glomeromycota; Glomeromycetes; Glomerales; Glomeraceae.
GGGGAUGUAGCUCAGUGGUAGAGCGCUCGCUUUGCAUGCGAGAGGUCCUGGGUUCGAUCCCCAGCUUCUCCA